AGAACGAACGCUGGCGGCAUGCCUAAUACAUGCAAGUCGAACGAACUCUUCGGAGUUAGUGGCGCACGGGUGCGUAACGCGUGGGAAUCUGCCCCUUGGUUCGGAAUAACAGUUGGAAACGACUGCUAAUACCGGAUGAUGACGAAAGUCCAAAGAUUAUCGCCAAGGGAUGAGCCCGCGUAGGAUUAGCUAGUUGGUGAGGUAAAGGCUCACCAAGGCAACGAUCCUUAGCUGGUCUGAGAGGAUGAUCAGCCACACUGGGACUGAGACACGGCCCAGACUCCUACGGGAGGCAGCAGUAGGGAAUAUUGGACAAUGGGCGAAAGCCUGAUCCAGCAAUGGCCGCGUGAGUGA
RNAcentral lists this ribosomal RNA (354 nucleotides) under uncultured soil bacterium. Its description in RNAcentral is "bacterial SSU rRNA". It matches the Rfam family "Bacterial small subunit ribosomal RNA", at positions 26 to 408 of the family's 1533-position model. The record is from RNAcentral.